Caretta caretta (loggerhead turtle) is the source of this 1270-nucleotide non-coding RNA. NCBI's taxonomy places the organism in Eukaryota, Metazoa, Chordata, Testudines, Cheloniidae. The record is from RefSeq and is a predicted model, not a curated record.
GCUGGACCCCUGGAGAUAAAGCUCUGGGAAGUGUUGCUCUAUGCAAGAUCAGGAAAGAAAGCUACAGAGCCAGGGAAGAGGCAAGGGCCCGGAUCCACAAAUAUUGAAGAGCUGUUGACUAUCAGAAAUCUCUUUCCCAUGCAGAUUGUGAUCAAAUCACCUCUCAGCCUCCUCUUGGAUAAACUAAAUAGACUAAAUUUUUUUAGUCUCUCACUAUAAGUGUCUCUCUGGAAGAGAGGAAAAGCCCAUGGGAAUGAACAUACAAAGAUUACCCAGAAACCAUUGGCCAACACAAGAUCACUGUCUGAAACUGUCAAACUUGAAUGAGGACAACCAAAUCCAGCUCUUAGCCAAUCAUGUGAGCAUGUAUGUGAUUUGAGCCUGCACCUAUUAAAGUGCCCUUGUUGGAGAGCUGGGCGCACGAUCCCAGGAGCUGUUCAGUUUUCAACUUUCCAGCACUUGAGAUGGAGCUAUGCUAAAUCCUGCAAUCAAGCGUGGCCUAUACUUUGAAGGAAUUAGGAUCCAGUUGAUCCGGAUCUGUACUCCACAUGCACAAAGGAAACAACUUCCAUUUUUCUGUUUUAAUAUCUACCCGUGUUGUAAUAGCAAUAAUGACCUCCCAGUCAGACAUUUCCGGACAUUUAAUGACAAUCUACGAUAAGGUUUCUUUGCUCCACCUCAGAUCCUCCAACCGGUCAUAAACUGCCAGGAAAUGUCUGACCCCAAAAUUAUUACUGGUGAGCACAGAAGCACUGAUGUUACCUGGGGUUUAGCAAGGUAAAGGCUUUCAGCAUCAUUCCUUUUACUGCCUGAAUUCUGGGCUAACUGGGUUCACAAAUAUGUAUUUAUACAAGAAGAAAAUGUCAUUAUUCUGUCCAAUUAUAAUCACAAACUUAAAAAAUUAAUUGAAGCAUGGUUUGAAUAAGCAAGAUAUUGAAUUGAGCAGGUUUUGCUUAAGUAAAUAUUUUCCAUUUUGAAACCUAAUCUAUUCACUUGAUAAACUAAAGCUCAGUUUUACUAAUUUAUCCUCCCCCCUCUUUUUUUUUUUGGUUUGCAGAAAAAAGUUUAUUCCAUUAGGAACUGUCACUGGCUUAAGAGGAUUUUACUCCACAUUUUAUAGUUUGACUCAAAGAAAAUUUAUUCUUGCAAUAGGUUUUACAAUUCUUAGCUAAAGUCAUCUUUCCUGCUGCAAUAAAAAAAAAAAGCUUUGGCUUUUGUUAGACUUGCACAUUCUUGGCUGCCAACAAUGAUUAAUCUUUCCCCUCUUCAA